Molecule: ribosomal RNA, 466 nt
Filed under: Vreelandella stevensii
Lineage: Bacteria; Pseudomonadati; Pseudomonadota; Gammaproteobacteria; Oceanospirillales; Halomonadaceae
Description: partial 16S ribosomal RNA
Rfam family: Bacterial small subunit ribosomal RNA
Source: RNAcentral
CCUACGGGUGGCUGCAGUGGGGAAUAUUGGACAAUGGGCGAAAGCCUGAUCCAGCCAUGCCGCGUGUGUGAAGAAGGCCUUCGGGUUGUAAAGCACUUUCAGUGGGGAAGAAAGCCUUGGGGCUAAUACCCUCGAGGAAGGACAUCACCCACAGAAGAAGCACCGGCUAACUCCGUGCCAGCAGCCGCGGUAAUACGGAGGGUGCGAGCGUUAAUCGGAAUUACUGGGCGUAAAGCGCGCGUAGGCGGUCUGAUAAGCCGGUUGUGAAAGCCCCGGGCUCAACCUGGGAACGGCAUCCGGAACUGUCAGGCUAGAGUGCAGGAGAGGAAGGUAGAAUUCCCGGUGUAGCGGUGAAAUGCGUAGAGAUCGGGAGGAAUACCAGUGGCGAAGGCGGCCUUCUGGACUGACACUGACGCUGAGGUGCGAAAGCGUGGGUAGCAAACAGGAUUUAGAUACCCUGGUAGUC